Molecule: long non-coding RNA, 508 nt
Organism: Hyla sarda
Lineage: Eukaryota; Metazoa; Chordata; Amphibia; Anura; Hylidae
Exons: 3
Source: RefSeq, a predicted model, not a curated record
AACCACCAGGGUUCAACUCCUGAAGCAGCUUGUAACUCGACAUGAGUUCGUAGAUUUUCUCCAAAUCUUUGCCUCCAAAGACCCUCCAAGACAACACAAGAGAUCUCCAGGGCUCUUCUCCCUAUCCUCAUCGACAUGGAUCUCACCAUCGAUAGAGCCCACAAGAUACCAAAAUCAAGUCAGAUCUGCUGCAUGCUUCAAAGGAUAUCCGGAUUCAGGUGCAAUUUUACCAUGGGAAAGAUCUUAAUAUCGAUGUCCCUCCAGACGUUACUAGAGAUGCUGUAGAAGGUAUUAAAAAUGGUAUUGGAAACGCUGUUGAUGCCUUUCAGGGUCUCGGUUGAUUUCCCUCUAUACGCAGUCGUCAUAAUGGAUUCCAGACCAGGACCGGCCGAGUCCUCACAAUGAAUUUCCCCCCUAAUGAUUUAGUUUUCUCUUCUUUCAUGAUUCUUCAUAUUCUCUCCAUGAUUUCUCUUCCUUCUAUAUCUCACAAUUAAUAAAGUAGAAUAGA